Molecule: transfer RNA, 71 nt
Organism: Loxodonta africana (African savanna elephant)
Lineage: Eukaryota; Metazoa; Chordata; Mammalia; Proboscidea; Elephantidae
Rfam family: tRNA
About the family: Transfer RNA (tRNA) molecules are approximately 80 nucleotides in length. Their secondary structure includes four short double-helical elements and three loops (D, anti-codon, and T loops). Further hydrogen bonds mediate the characteristic L-shaped molecular structure. tRNAs have two regions of fundamental functional importance: the anti-codon, which is responsible for specific mRNA codon recognition, and the 3' end, to which the tRNAs corresponding amino acid is attached (by aminoacyl-tRNA synthetases). tRNAs cope with the degeneracy of the genetic code in two manners: having more than one tRNA (with a specific anti-codon) for a particular amino acid; and 'wobble' base-pairing, i.e. permitting non-standard base-pairing at the 3rd anti-codon position.
Source: Rfam
GGAGUGGUGGUUGAGUGGUAAAAUUCUCGCCUUCUGUGCAGGAGACCCGGGUUCAAUUCCUGGCCAAAGCA